Suricata suricatta (meerkat) is the source of this 161-nucleotide long non-coding RNA. RefSeq lists it as uncharacterized. Lineage: Eukaryota; Metazoa; Chordata; Mammalia; Carnivora; Herpestidae. The record is from RefSeq and is a predicted model, not a curated record. The transcript has 2 exons.
AGAAAUAAAACUGGGUCACCCAAGAUUCACAAAAUAAACAUCCUAACCUGGCGUCCUGUUUAAAUGAGGGUGCAGCGAGACUGAAAAUGCCAGGUACAAAGAGUCCAGGGUAAGAUGACUUCACAACACAAUAAAAGCCCGAGUGCCCGGGAUGAAUUCUC